RNAcentral lists this ribosomal RNA (1398 nucleotides) under Chryseobacterium daecheongense. Its description in RNAcentral is "bacterial SSU rRNA". It matches the Rfam family "Bacterial small subunit ribosomal RNA". Lineage: Bacteria; Pseudomonadati; Bacteroidota; Flavobacteriia; Flavobacteriales; Weeksellaceae. The record is from RNAcentral.
CUAACACAUGCAAGCCGAGCGGUAGAGUCUCUUCGGAGACUUGAGAGCGGCGUACGGGUGCGGAACACGUGUGCAACCUGCCUUUAUCAGGGGGAUAGCCUUUCGAAAGGAAGAUUAAUACCCCAUAAUAUAUUUUGAGGCAUCUUAAGAUAUUGAAAACUCCGGUGGAUAAAGAUGGGCACGCGCAAGAUUAGAUAGUUGGUGGGGUAACGGCCUACCAAGUCAAUGAUCUUUAGGGGGCCUGAGAGGGUGAUCCCCCACACUGGUACUGAGACACGGACCAGACUCCUACGGGAGGCAGCAGUGAGGAAUAUUGGACAAUGGGUGCGAGCCUGAUCCAGCCAUCCCGCGUGAAGGACGACGGCCCUAUGGGUUGUAAACUUCUUUUGUACAGGGAUAAACCUUUCCACGUGUGGAAAGCUGAAGGUACUGUACGAAUAAGCACCGGCUAACUCCGUGCCAGCAGCCGCGGUAAUACGGAGGGUGCAAGCGUUAUCCGGAUUUAUUGGGUUUAAAGGGUCCGUAGGCGGAUCAGUAAGUCAGUGGUGAAAUCUCAUAGCUCAACUAUGAAACUGCCAUUGAUACUGCUGGUCUUGAGUAAGGUAGAAGUAGCUGGAAUAAGUAGUGUAGCGGUGAAAUGCAUAGAUAUUACUUAGAACACCAAUUGCGAAGGCAGGUUACUAUGUCUUAACUGACGCUGAUGGACGAAAGCGUGGGGAGCGAACAGGAUUAGAUACCCUGGUAGUCCACGCCGUAAACGAUGCUAACUCGUUUUUGGGUUUUCGGAUUCAGAGACUAAGCGAAAGUGAUAAGUUAGCCACCUGGGGAGUACGAACGCAAGUUUGAAACUCAAAGGAAUUGACGGGGGCCCGCACAAGCGGUGGAUUAUGUGGUUUAAUUCGAUGAUACGCGAGGAACCUUACCAAGGCUUAAAUGGGAAUUGAUCGGUUUAGAAAUAGACCUUCCUUCGGGCAAUUUUCAAGGUGCUGCAUGGUUGUCGUCAGCUCGUGCCGUGAGGUGUUAGGUUAAGUCCUGCAACGAGCGCAACCCCUGUCACUAGUUGCCAUCAUUAAGUUGGGGACUCUAGUGAGACUGCCUACGCAAGUAGAGAGGAAGGUGGGGAUGACGUCAAAUCAUCACGGCCCUUACGCCUUGGGCCACACACGUAAUACAAUGGCCGGUACAGAGGGCAGCUACACAGCGAUGUGAUGCAAAUCUCGAAAGCCGGUCUCAGUUCGGAUUGGAGUCUGCAACUCGACUCUAUGAAGCUGGAAUCGCUAGUAAUCGCGCAUCAGCCAUGGCGCGGUGAAUACGUUCCCGGGCCUUGUACACACCGCCCGUCAAGCCAUGGAAGUCUGGGGUACCUGAAGUCGGUGACCGUAAAAGGAGCUGCCUAGG